RNAcentral lists this ribosomal RNA (601 nucleotides) under uncultured bacterium. RNAcentral describes it as "bacterial SSU rRNA". It matches the Rfam family "Bacterial small subunit ribosomal RNA", at positions 740 to 1346 of the family's 1533-position model. The record is from RNAcentral.
CUGACGCUGAAGCUCGAAGGCGCGGGUAUCGAACAGGAUUAGAUACCCUGGUAGUCCGCGCGGUAAACGAUGGAUGCUCGCUGUUGGGCUUUAUGCUCAGCGGCCAAGCGAAAGCGUUAAGCAUCCCACCUGGGGAGUACGCCGGCAACGGUGAAACUCAAAGGAAUUGACGGGGGCCCGCACAAGCGGAGGAACAUGUGGUUUAAUUCGAUGAUACGCGAGGAACCUUACCCGGGCUUGAACUGCAGGAGAACGAUUCAGAGAUGAUGAGGUCCUUCGGGACUCCUGUGGAGGUGCUGCAUGGUUGUCGUCAGCUCGUGCCGUGAGGUGUCGGCUUAAGUGCCAUAACGAGCGCAACCCCUGUCUUAAGUUGCCAUCGGGUAAUGCCGGGGACUCUUGAGAUACUGCCACCGCAAGGUGUGAGGAAGGUGGGGAUGACGUCAAAUCAGCACGGCCCUUACGUCCGGGGCUACACACGUGUUACAAUGGCGCGUACAGAGUGCCGGCCGUGCGCAAGUACGGUCCAAUCACUAAAACGCGUCUCAGUUCGGACUGGGGUCUGCAACCCGACCCCACGAAGCUGGAUUCGCUAGUAAUCGCG